CUGGGCCCAGCCCAGACCUCAGAGCGCUGCUGGCUGGCUGCUCGUGCUGCCCGCAGAGGCCCAGGUAGCCAGCCCUCCUCAGAUUGUGGCUGGAGGCUUCGUGGGAAUAUGGGUGGGAAUGGGGAGUUGCAGAGAAAGCAUGGGUUCCUGAGUCAGAAGCCCUGGAUUCAGGUCUCAGCUCGAACACUGACUAGCUGUGAGACUUUGGGCUGGUCCAUUUUGCCUCCCUGAGCCUCAGUUUCCACUUACGGAAAACAGGGUGAGCGCCUGGCUUUUAACCUGAACGAGAUGACAUAUGUAGCAGAUUCCUUUCGACCUUGCCACACAUAAAGUGGACACUCAAAAAAUGGGAGAUCCUUUUGCCUCCAACUCCUCAUCUGAGGAAGUGCCUCCUGGAAGCACUCCUCAGUACCUACACUGCUCCCAGGACUGGGUGUUGAACAAGGAAGGUUUGUGGAGAGGCAGCAUGCAGGGAGGGCAAGAUGGGGCUGUGGUCUCCAUGGUGAGACUUGUUGCCAAGGGAACAAGACUCCAAGAGCCCCGGGUCUGGCAGUUGGGCACUUUUGCCAUAGGAUCUGAGAGACUGAUUACCACUGUGGACCUAAAACCCUGAUGGGCAGCCAGGCCAAGGCUCCUGGCUCUGCUGAGUUUCUGCUGUUGGGGUGUAGGGGCGACAGCUCCCCGUACCCAGCCUCCUUUCAGGGAAAUUGAGGAUCGGAGAAGCAUCUGUCUGGGUCAAGGUCACAUACAACCAGGAAGGGCAAGAACUGGAACGAGGAGUUGCAGAAAAAGCAUGGGUUCCUGAGUCAGAAGCCCUGGAUUCAGGUCUCAGCUCCAACACUGACUAGCUGGUGAGAUCUCUGGUUGAUGUGCCUGCUGUCUCAUAGACUGCUUGAAGGAAAUGACCCCUGGAAAGAGCUCUGUGUAGUCAGACCCAACCUCAUCCCAGGACUCUCCCUUGCCAUCAUUUCCAGGGGCGUCUGUCUUCAGACUCUGACUUAAUUUGGAGUAGCCAGCUUUCCCUGUUUCUUCAGGUUCACCCAAAGGCCAUUACUGAGCUUUGCUACAAACUCUGGACGCCCACAUUCAGCACUACUGAAUUGCUAAGACUGAGCAGGGAGGAAGCCUGUUGCAACUUUAGUAUCAGAUAGACCUGGAUUCAAAAGCCAAUUCUGCCACUGACUCAUGUGUCAUCUGAAGCAAAAGGCUUAACUUCCUUGAGCCUCAAUUUGCUUAUUAGAAAACCGGGGCUGACACCUACCCCUUGCAAGGCCGUUAGGAAGAUUACUGAGGUGACACGCGCGAAGCACCAAUCACAGUGCCUGGACUCUCGAGGCGGUGGGCCAAUGCGUCCCUUCUCCUCCCGGCACCUCUGUGUAUCUGUUCCCUCUUGUGGGGCAAGGAAGACAGUCUAUUAAUUCGUUCUGCAGCAUUUCCUUUGUUCUAAACCCAUCUCUUUCAAAACUCAAGGGCUCUCUGGUUUCUUGUGCUGGAGGCUGAGGAAUGGGAAGGCAGCUGGGCUUCCCUCAUUUCACACAAGAGGAUUAAUAGACUUUGAUCAAACCCUCCUCAGCCUUUAUCUUCCCAGCCUGAGAAGCCUUCAUCUCUCCCAUCUGUCUUCAUACACCCUCAACCCAAACUCUGCCACUUCUCUGAUCAUAUGAGCAGGCCUACAGGACAGUUGGGUAGAUCUGGGUUCAAGUACGAACUUAACACUCCUGUAUGAUUUUGGCCACAUCCCUUGAUCUCUUAGAGCCUCCAUUUUUUAGCUCUAGAAAAGCUAUUAAUAGAUCUCACCUAUUUUCUGGACAGACAGUAUCACUUUGUUAGAGCACAGUGCAUCCUAGACCAUCCAUUGGCCUCUCGUGCACUAUGACGCUGCCCUCUUGCCCAAGACUCAGCUGACGGCCUUCUUUCCCCACACUCCUGAAUGUGGCAUCCAAGGCUCCCAAUUGCUUCUCCAGCCUCAACUCUUGCUAAUCCCUCCCACCUGCCACCAUUCCAGUCACGGCAGUCCCUUGUUAUACCGGAACACUCCGUCUUUCUGAUACAGCCAGCCCUUUGGACAUGGAUCCCUCCACCUGGCCUACCUGUGGAUCCCUUUGCCUCGUGACUUUCUUCAAGGGCCACCUUCAACAACACUCAUCUGUGAAGCUCUUCCUGACUAUCCUGCAAAGAACAAGCCACUCCUUCUCCAGGCCCUUACAACCCCACAUACAUUCCUAAUGACAACCUCAUCCCCCCUCCACUGCGGUCUAUAUCUGCCUCUCCACUAGGCUCACUUCUCUGGUUGUGCCACUCACCCCGGGAGAGUCUUUUCACCUCCCUCAACUGUAGUUUCUUCACUUACAAAAUAGAAGUAAUAAUCCUUGAAGUUCAAUAUGGUGCCUGGGACACAAGGUGGGCACUUCAGUCAGUGCUGGUUCAUUGAUUCAGGCAGUUCUGAGACACCGGCCCCUGCCAGAGCCUCAGCAACAGUAAUUGAGGUGGGUGUCAGCUAUGAGCAAGAGCCACAGGUCUGAAGGCACAAGCCGGCACCUCAGGACACGCCAUCAUCCCUCCCCAGAACCCCAGACAAGCUUCAUAGACAGAUGCCAUGUGCAGAAGGAUUCACAUUUAUUGGUUCAAAUACAGUACCUAACACUUGCUAAACAUGCAUUUCACACUAAUUGGUCACAUUUCCACAGGUAGUCAAUUCACAGAACAGGGCCCAUCCCUUGCCAGCUGGCAGGGUGGGAGGUAGCAGAGGGCCUGGGUAGCCUGCAGAGCCCACCAGCUAUCAUUUGGUCAUGCAGGGUUGAUGGAGUCAGGCUGGCAGGCAGCCCUUGGCCGGCCCUUUGGGGACAAGGGCUCAGGGACAUCCCGUUUCCUCGAUUCCUACACACAGGACUGUGGGUGGAGGUGGACCUAGGGCAGGUAACCCGGGGGUAGGCUCGUGGAUGUGUGUGCCACCAGAGCCCCUAAAGGUAGUGUCUAUGGGAGUGAUGCUCCCUAUGCCCUGGAGCACAGGAAGGAAAUGGAGGCCUCUUCACGGGGGUGACCAGUCCCUGGCUGGGUAGGUGGGAAGGAAUCCCCAGACAUAGACCAGACACUACAAUGCAGCCACCAGCCCCUAUGGCAGACCUGGGAUGGCAACACAGACAAAAACACCAACAGCCCAGGGCAGGCGGGGCUUCUUUCCCGACAGAAACAAGUAAACAGAGCAGGAGCUACAGUAUUCUUUUCCCACAGGAUUGCUCAGAGAGGAAUCGACCAGGAUGUCGCUUAAGAGGUAGUUUUUUUUUUCUUUUUCAUGGAAAUUUGAGUCAACAACAUUAUCAUCUAUUACAAGACAUUUUAGAGAAAGAAAACAAUGGUCAUCAAAGGGCAAAGACAGCAGGGCUAGAUCUGGGGACCAGCCUCCACCAGUAACACAACUUUUGUUCUUGGGCUUGGAGCAGGCUCUGACCUUACUCACCGCCUCCCUUUGAGCCUACAGUUGAUUCCUGUGCAGGCUGUGGCCCAUUUAGGGCUUCAGGCCCAGAAGACGGAUGCUAGAUGGGGACUGGGCUAGACAGAGGGACCAGGCUUCUAUGAGCGGGAAGAGGCAGGGCCACCGUGGCUUAUGUUGUAGGACAGCUAGAAGGCUUCAAUCUCAUGGUGGCCCAGGUCUGGCCAAAGCGGAAGCCCCAGCUUGCUCCAGACUUGGCAGGCUCUCUGGAGCUCCCGCCUUGGAGGAAACAGUUCAGGUAUGGCUCCCAAGCCCAGAAAAAAUGUUGCUGUGGCAGCCUAAAGAGGAGUUUCUGGGGAUCCUGUAAUUAAAUACACAUCCCUGAGCUGUGGCCCCAGAAACCCUUGUCUCCAGGCUAACCAGUUUCCAACACGUGGUGGAAUGACUGCCGUUUCUCAUCCUGACACACAGAUAAAACAUCAUUUCACAGACACUGGACAUAGAUGCUUCAAGCCAAGCAGAAAGGGAGGAUGAUCAACUGCAAAGGCAGAGGGGAGUGCAAGGGAACUCUCAUGGGCUGGGGUAGGGGGAGGCAGGGGAGUAAGAGUAGCUUUUUUUUUUUUUUUUGGUUAAAUUUUGUUUGUUUUUUUGUUUUUUACUUAAAAAAAUCAAUUAAAAAAUUCAAAGCUUAAUAAAAGGGCUGGUCUGAAAGACUGGAUUCUUAAAACAAUUGCAAAAAUUUCAAAAGCAACAAGGAAAAAAGAUAUAUACCAGGGGCCCAGAGAGGAGGGCCUGGAACCACAGCUCAGCUUUCUGUCCUGCUGAGAGGACAGGGUUCCCUUAAUUCGACCAACCUUGGACAUGGCUUAGAUGCUGCCCACAGUGGGUUUGUCUGUCUCCAUCAGUCCCAUUCCCCCAGGAAAUC
Molecule: non-coding RNA, 4355 nt
Organism: Macaca mulatta (Rhesus monkey)
Lineage: Eukaryota; Metazoa; Chordata; Mammalia; Primates; Cercopithecidae
Source: RefSeq, a predicted model, not a curated record